UACGUAGGAGGCGAGCGUUGUCCGGAAUCACUGGGCGUAAAGCGCGUGUAGGCGGGAAGGCAAGUCUGCUGUGAAAGCGCCUGGCUUAACUGGGCGAGGUCGGCGGAAACUGCUUACCUGGAGGACGGUAGAGGGGGGUGGAAUUCCCGGUGUAGUGGUGAAAUGCGUAGAGAUCGGGAGGAACAUCGGUGGCGAAAGCGCUCUACUGGACCGCAACUGACACUCAGGGACGAAAGCUAGGGGAGCGAAUGGG
This 253-nucleotide ribosomal RNA is filed under the name uncultured bacterium. Its description in RNAcentral is "partial 16S ribosomal RNA". It matches the Rfam family "Bacterial small subunit ribosomal RNA", at positions 524 to 776 of the family's 1533-position model. The record is from RNAcentral.